AGCAAGAAAUGAGUGAUACCAAGCCGCUUACUACAAGUAAGGGCUGAUUACACCGAUUCAGGAACACAGAAGGUUAAAAGGCUAUGGCUACAUCACAAUGCUUACAUCAUUCACCUCCUGUCAUCUCAUCACAGAGACAUUGCAACAUCUCCCAUCGCAAGAAGAGAAUGUGGAUAAGGAGAGACUUGGCAACCACCCGAAGCACAGCAGCGCCAGCUGAAGCGCAGCUCACCGACAGGCAGCAGCUGCAUCCCUAGUUGUGCUGGUGCGGGUCUGGAGCCAAUGAAUUCCAGGCACUGGCCCAAGUGCUCGAUACAUGAAGGUGAAUCAGACCGUGAGCUGGUCCUCAAUGACGUGCAGAGAAGCAGAAGGGACAAGAAUGCAAAUACAUUAUUAUAAUUCAGUUAUGAAAAAAUGUAUUGUGGAGCCCUGCUCUAGAGACAGCA
Rhinopithecus roxellana (golden snub-nosed monkey) is the source of this 446-nucleotide long non-coding RNA. RefSeq lists it as uncharacterized. The record is from RefSeq and is a predicted model, not a curated record. NCBI's taxonomy places the organism in Eukaryota, Metazoa, Chordata, Mammalia, Primates, Cercopithecidae. The transcript is spliced from 3 exons.